UACGAAGGGGGCUAGCGUUGUUCGGAAUUACUGGGCGUAAAGCGCACGUAGGCGGAUCGAUCAGUCAGGGGUGAAAUCCCAGGGCUCAACCCUGGAACUGCCUUUGAUACUGUCGAUCUGGAGUAUGGAAGAGGUGAGUGGAAUUCCGAGUGUAGAGGUGAAAUUCGUAGAUAUUCGGAGGAACACCAGUGGCGAAGGCGGCUCACUGGUCCAUUACUGACGCUCAUGCACGAAAGCGUGGGGAGCAAACAGG
Molecule: ribosomal RNA, 253 nt
Filed under: uncultured bacterium
Lineage: Bacteria
Description: partial 16S ribosomal RNA
Rfam family: Bacterial small subunit ribosomal RNA
Source: RNAcentral